AAAGACAAGGAGGAGGUGACGAUAGGCGGAAGGGACCAAUAGCAGCGAGCGACCGGGUGACCUGUGCUGCCCGCAGUGGAGGUGUGCGCGUCGGGCGGGGCCGCUCAGGCCUCCCGGUGCCACACCGGCGGGUCGGGUCGGGUCGGGUCGGGUCGGGUCGCGCCGCGCCGCGCCAGCGAGGCCUGCCGAGCCCCGGCGGCGGCGACGGGGGCAGCGGUGGGGGACUUCCGCGAGUGCGCGCCAUGGCGGCCAACGAGGACCAGGAGAUGGAGCUGGAAGCGCUGCGCUCCAUCUACGAGGGAGAUGUGUGCUUCAGGGAGCUGAGCCCGGUGUCCUUCCAGUACAGGAUAGGUGAAAGUGGAGAUCCCAAAGCUUUUCUAAUAGAAGUUUCUUGGCCGGAAACAUACCCACAAACAGCACCAGUCAUAUCAAUGGAUGCUUUCUUCAACAACACAAUAUCUUCAGCUAUUAAACAGAGUAUAUUGGAUAAGUUGAUGGUAGAAGUUGAAGCGAAUCUUGGGACUGCUAUGACAUACACACUUUUUGAAUAUGCCAAAGAUAAUAAAGAGGUGUUCAUGGAAAAUCAGCCUGUUAACACUGUGACUUCAGUAAGCAAUAGUAUUGCAAUUGGAACUCCUGAUGUGCCAGCAAGUAAGAAAAAAGAUAAAAAGGAGCAUUUAUCCAAAACCCAGAAACGAAAACUAGCCGAUAAAACAGAUAACAAAGGGGAGCUUCCACGAGGAUGGAACUGGGUGGAUGUAAUCAAGCAUACACAAGCCCUACUCUGUUAGAUGCUCUAUCAGUAGCCCCUUGAAGCAGGGGUGGUCGGUGUCUUGCAGGAUGAGGAAAUGGGGAAGAAAUGUAUUCUAUGAGGAGACACAUGCUGAAUAUGAAAAGCAAACACUGAACAUCUUUGGAUAGAUGUUCAGGGAGAAACGAUGACAGAAGCAUUGAAGAAGGUAAAAGAAGCAGGAACACAUUGAGCUCUGGAGCCUUAAGAACAAGGUGUUUAUUACAAACCACUGAGGGAGGAAGGAAGGAAUGUCACCAGAAGAAAGUUAUGCACAGGAGCAAAUACAGAAAUUUUGAUUUGAAGCUGUGAGAUUCCUGUGUACCAAGCAAAUGCACUUUCCACUAUGUGGAGGGAUGGAGACAACUCUACAAUCUAGCUUCAUCUUUCCUGCCAGAUUCUGGAACCUGACCUCAUUAGGCUUAUUUGUGCUAGAACCAGAGGCAGAAAGAAAUGCAUUCCUGGAAGAAUCCUGUUCUAAAUUGUACAAUUACUGUAAAAAAAGAGGUUGUAACUCCACCUGGUGGACCUGAGGUGGGGGCUUCCAGAUGGCAUCAGAAGCGAUCACCACGAUGUUUUACUACAUUUGGAAGUUCUGAAGUGUGAAGAGAUGAGACAUCAAACAUUUGUUAUUUUGUUGGGCGAAAGCUUGAUGAUCCUGUCAUCCCAGGAAUAUUAUGAAAGAAAAACUCAGAAUUAAUUAAAGGCAUAACUGGAAGAAUGAAAAUAGCUGAAAUGAUGCAAAAGCAGAAAAUGUUAAGUGUGGCAUCUCAUGGGGAAUAAAAAGAGACAGUUCUGACUGAAAAAGGAGUGCAGACAGAUGAUAGUCGGGCAGGUGUUACCCAACACAUUUUGGGAACUGGCAAAUCAUCGGAAGAAAAUAUAACUGGAAUUCACUUCAACAGAGAAUCAGACUCAAACAUUUCAGAUGUGCAGCAUUUGUUUUAUGUGUCUUCAUUCCUCAAGCCUCCGAAUGUGACAAAGAACGGCAGCUUCUUAACCAGUGCUACAGACAGGAUGCAAAUUUUAUUUCAAGUAUUUACAAACCGCAGCCUGCCAGGUUAGUGCUGAGUUCCUUCUGUUCACAAGUUGUUUGGUAAAGGAAUAAAUGUGGUUUUCCUUCCAAUCCAUUAAGGAGCUGGAUUUAUUGUUCAUUAGUAUGAAAGUGGUUCACUUCUUUAAGCACUGGAAGUCUUAUUGCUAAGCACUUGCAUGAAAGAAAUACUAAGUCUGAAGAGUUUCCUUCAAUGUUAUAUCCCACAAAUGAAUAGUAUCUUUAUUUAAAUAAGCAGCAGUGCUUUUCUCAUUACAGUACAAAGUGCAGUAGUAGAAGGUAUCAUCUGAAGGAAAUUUUUCCCCCAAAUCUCUAUUAAUGAUGCUGAUAACCCUGCCAUCAAAUAGGCAUGAGAGAUUUUACCUCUGUCACGUUAAGGAGGUCUUUUCCCUCCAUAAGGGGGAAGAUUUCACACCUUCACCUGUAAGUUUGAUGGGUUUGUUACCAUCCCAGGAAAGAUGAGAUCCUUGAGCACAAUGAUCCUGUCAGAGCGCCUGCAGGCGCUCCACCAGGCAGUGCACUGUAUUGGAGUGUAUUCAGCACACACAAUAGCGGAUUCACCCACCAAAUCAAAAAAAGGUUUUACGUAAGAUUUUAAGACAAUCUUAAGUCAAUUUGAGUUUCUGGAGGCUCACACAAAAUAGAUCUUAACUGAGAAUUUUUUGUAUAUAAUUUCAUGAUUAUUUUCAUGAACAUUUUAAGGUUAAAAAAUUGCCGGUAACGAUACAGUAUCCUAACUGCGAGAACAAGCGUGAAAAUAAUACAUAAAGCCAGAAAAAAUCAAUCCUGAAGUGUGAUUAGGCUUUUACCCAAUAGGCAUCCCUGUGGUGGGGAGAAGAUAGGUUCAGUCCAUUGACCAAUCCCAGCAGUUACAAUGGAGUCUUACCUAAUUCCCUCCUGCCCCCCACGUUGCAUAUUCAUACGAUCUAAUUUGAAUUAGUAACUCCCCAUAACUCUGUCCUUUUACCAGUUGGUCAUCUAACUUGCAUAAGGAUUACAUAAUUAAAUGCCUAACUAGGCAUACUCAGGGGUGUGUCUCUGGACGUGGGCAGGGGCCUUUUGACCUGUGGGUGUCAUUUUUAGCAUUAAAAUGGGAUUGUAAUGAGGAAAGUUCACCAAAAGAACACUUAAUCAUGGUUUCUCACUCACAAAAACCAUAUUUUGGUGAUUGGUUUAGUUUUGUGAGGAAGUAGCAGACUUCAAGGAUAGUCUUUCUUGAUUAGAGGUUCGUUAAUCUUAUUUUUCUGUCUUAUUUUCCUCAAUUCUGUUUUUCUCAGUUCUGUUUUCCCUCAGUAUUGUUUUUCUGUCUGCCUACAAGGCCAAAGCCUCUCCAGCUAUCAGUUCUCAUGGUAAAUAACUGUUGUUUCUCAGGUCUCCUUACCCUUUAAGAGGCCCUUGUAUCUAUUCAGGCUCUUUGCAAGUCUUAUUUUUGUAAUUAAAUGUCUAUGGAAUGUUAACUAUAUAUGAUUAUGGAUCUUAAACUAAACAUGGGGCUUGAGCAUGUGCCUGUGGAGCUUGAGUGGCUCUAGUCAUACAUAUUUUUGGUGUGAAAUUCUCUCACUUUACAAUCCUUGUUUGUCAGCUGCUAGGUGGUUUAUCAGUAGUGGCGUUAUCUUCACAUUCCUGCAUCUGCAGGGAGUAAACCUGGGCCUGGCUGUGGUGUCUUCACUCCGCUUCUCUCUCCACAAGAGGUUGAUCAAGGAUUCAAGAUUCAGAGCUGUCCACUUACUGCUUCAACAGAAAGACCUGUGACUUAGAAUGCGACCUGUCAAGCGUGCAGUCUUGAAUAUGUUUUGACACCCACCUUGUGAAAACAGAAGUUAAUAAAAGUAAGUAUGAAGCACAUCAGAACAUCAUAGAAAGCAUACAUGCACAGGUAUAUCUACCAUCACUUUCCUUUCUUCACCUCUGCCAUGCCUCUGGGAUGCUGGGCAUUUCUUUUCACUGUGUUCUAGAGCUCUAGACAGGGAAAAAAUGCAGACCACAGUAUGCUUUGUCUUGAGUGUAGCUCUGUAUUUUUAACGGUGCAUGCUAAACCUGUAGUAAUUUUACACUCCUAAGUCAAGUGCCUUCACUCUUUCUUUAAAUACCUUCUCCAAGUUUCCUUCUUUCAGCUUGGUUUUCCCAGUUAGGUGUUUAUUCUGAUGUUCCUUAUCUCUCUCCCUUAAUCACCUUCAAUCUUCUAAGACUUUCUGAAGACCAGUCUUCAGUUUGCUUUGCCUGUUAUCUUAGUUCUCAGUAUUCAGGAAAAGCUAUACAGAGGAGAGUCCAUGUUACUUUAAACCUUUAGAGAGGCAUGCUGAUUUAAAGUAAUAUAGAAGGCUGAGAUGUCAUUCUUAAUUCUCCUUGGAUACCCAGCUUCCUCAGCAAUCCCAUCAGAAACUGUGUGAUUGGCGUGGAAUUAAGGCAAUGUGGAUCAAAAAUCAAAAUCUUAUCAGCAGUUGUUAAUUUAUGUUUAAUUAAAAUCUGUAUCUGCUCAUUUAUUGCAAUUAAUCCUUUGAGUUAGUAACAAACUGAACUGUGUGUUGCUAUUCUGCAGAAGCCAAGAAAAGUAUUAGGUAUGGCCUCUUUUUCUAACUGUAAAAUGAGAUCUAAGUGGACUCAUUCAGCAUUGGGGUUUUAGGCAUGCUUUUCUGUUUUAUGAACUCACAGACAGAACAGUAUAUUGAUCUGUUGAAAAAAAGGUGUAGCACAAGAUGUGAUGUACCUGGGUUUGGCUUCACUUCAUCUUAAUUCUUCCCUUCAAUCCUCAUCUUAGAUCAUCUUUCUUGUCUGUGGGUACGUGCUUUGGGUUUUACAAGUUUGUAAAACAAAAAGUACAUUAUUGAGCACAAACCUGCUCUGUGUUUUCUUCCUACCCAGCCCCCUUUAUGUCCUCUUUUGUAUCUCAGCGAGACGGGUUUGACCAUUGCUUGUCAUGUCCUUCAACAUACUCAGCUCCUUGCAUCUUCCUCUUUUCAGGAUGAAUGUGUCAAGUUGCAGCUUAAAGUUCUGAUCUCAGUUAUAAUCACUACUCAGCUGGGGUAUUUCUGUAUAUUUUAAGAAAAAAGUAGCAACCUGCAUGUUUUGUUUUCUGCUGGUUAUCUUUGCCAGUAGUUGCUGAUCUCCGGAGUGUGCAUUAUCCACCAGGGGGAGCCGAAGCCAAGAACUGUCAGAUUUUCAUAGAAUCUUAGAACCAUUUCAGUUGGAUAAGACCGAGGACAGCAGGAGUGCUGGUCCUUCUGGACAAAUGAGCUUCUUGCGUUUCUCUCUGCACUUGGAAUAAGCCACUCACACAGAAAUAAGUAGAUGUUGAGACAUGUUGAGACAUGUUGAGACAUAACAGCUGAAAGGAGGUAAGGAACAGUUUCUUGUACCAUUUCUAAUUUGUAGUUGACCAUACGAACAUAAACAGUCUUUGGGAAAAUAUGGCAUUGACUUCUUUGUACUACAAAAGGCAGGAAAACUCACACAGUUAAUUAUAGCUGAGCAAUAAUAUACAAAGCUGGUCCUUACUGCCUCCAAGCUGCUUGCUACUUGCUCAGGUCAGUUGUAAUUUUCAGUGCUGUGGUAUCCUUUGACUUCUGCAAAACCAUUAGUCUGUUGGUCAUAAGAAUUAUGAUCCAUGGGAGACGCUGAAACUUCCCUAGGUAACAGUCAAAUUUGCUUUCUACGCCACCAAUUGUGGGUAAAGAGUUAGCAUAUUAGACCUCCAAUGGGAUUUUUAUUUCAAAUUCAAAAUCUUGUCAUACUUAAAAAAUGGUAACAGUCACAUCAAAUAACCUCAAUUUCAGCUCAGGUUUCUGUUCUUUGACAGAUUUUUGUCACAUCCUGCAAAGGAAGGUGGAAGACAGUUUAUAUCAAAUUGCUGUCUAAUAAACUCUUUAUGGUUUCUUCAGUUAGAAGUUGCCUUUUAUACUGGAGCAUAAGGUUUUAAUAGAUUUUUUUUUUUUAAUGUCUGGAUCUUAUCUAACUUACUCAGGGCUCAUUACCCAUAUUUCAGCAUUUCAGAGAGGAGGACUUAUUUCUGUAUUUAUUUUGCUGUCAAUUUACUUAAAUAAUGCCAUAGCUUGUCAGGCUUUUUAACAGGCAUUUUCUAACAUUUCAAUGGGAAUUAAUUUGUCAAAUGUAGUAAAUAAAAAGAGAAAUGUAAGAAUUUAGGAAAGAUUAGCAGGAGACUCAGAGAUUUGAAAACCAAACCUUAAAUUAUGCAUUUUACAACUGUACCUCCUCAGCAGUGGCUGCUGGAUAAAUUGCAGUGCUGUAUGACACAUUGGAUCUGCACUUUAGGAUUUUCUUAAUUAAAGAAAAUAGAAGAGGAGGAAAUCUUACAACUUCUUUUGGAAGGGGAGAUACGUUAAGUUAUAAUUUAUUUCAGAUGCAGUUAAUUAGCUAUAAAAUGACCCUUUUUUAGUUUUCUUGGGUAACUUUUUACAUUUCUAAUUAUUUCUGACAGCUUUUUUCUUCUGUCUCUGCACUCCAUUCCUGCUGCCACUUCAAUUUUUGUUUCAGUUCCUUCUCUCUUUUGGGUUUAUUUUUCUCUCUUGCUUUGUGUGUGGGUGAUACUUUCAUAUUCUCUCUUUUCACGUUUGACUUCCCUUCCUUUCAGAAUUUUAUUGCCUCAUACUUUAUUCUGAUGUUAGGAAAGGGAAAGGAAUAUAUGCCAGCUUCAGUCUCAGGAAAUAUAUUCAGCUCUGUGUUUGAACCUAUACUUCAUUUUUAUUAUUUCAGGGUUCUCAUCUGAUGGACUCAUGCCAUUUGCUGCGUGAAAUACACAUUUCUUCAGCAGAUACUCCUAUACAUAGGGAUUGCUCCACACAUAUCAAGAAAUUCACUGAAAGAUCAUACUCUGUGUGCUUGUAGAGUAGUAGGAAGUACUACCAGUGAGAAUUUAGGAUUAAAAAAAAUCCUCCUCAUAACUCAGUGUCAGCCUUCCCUCGUUGCUCUAUAUUUGAUCUAUAGUCAUUAUAUAAUACAAAUCUGUUAUAAGGGAUUAAUCUUAAGGAUACAUUUUGUAGGUGUGAAUUCCCUCAGCCCUUCAACAACCUAAUAUAUCUCCACUAACUGCUACUCAAGUACUUCUUCCAAACAUAAGUUGAAGGGCGUUCUUUCCAGGGUACGCCAAUGCAGCACGCUGCUUUACACAAUGUUUGUUGAGACUGUCAAACUGAAAUUUCUGAGAACAGGAUUUGUGCUAGUGCAGUGCAGGAGUGUGCUCUCAGUUGGUGCCCUACUCCCAAUAUCAGCUGGGAGUCUGUUAUUCAUUUCUGCUCUGUCUAAAUAUUGUGGUCAUGUAAAAAAAGCUGUAGGUUUUCUAAGGGUGACUAGUCCGCUUUUAUAGAAUAUAAUGGUAGGAAAGGAUUGUCAUAAUUACUUAUGGAGUAUCUUGGACAAGAUUUGAAUAGUGAGGUUUAGGAGAAGUCCAGUGUCUGCACUCGCAUUGACUUGAUUUUCAAAUGGCGCUGGCAAUAUUCUGUAUCAAAGACAGAAAUAGUUUGCAAAGGCAAAUCCAGCUGUAAGGAGUUAAGACAAAGUGCUAGAAAGAAAAUUGAUGAAAGAGGAAGGAAGCAAUAGACCAUACAUGAAAGAGAUUAUAAAGAGAAUAAUCCAAAGUGUGUGCUGAUGUCCCGUGUUUGAUCACUGGUAUGUCUGAAGGGUUCAAAAGCUAAAUUUGCAGACAGUAAUGACAUUGGGAGCACAGCAAAUUAUAGUGUAUGCUACAUCUAGAUUCAGUGCAAGCAGAGAUGGGGGCAAAAUAUUUCAAAAGAAGCAAAAUCAAACCACAUUAAAAAUCCCAAGUACUGUACAUGACAAUCCUUUUUAGCAUUAAAAUUUUCAGUUAACUUGUAUAUUUGGCAAACUCAUUGGGUUUUAUUCCGGAAUUGUCACUGCCAGAGCAGCAAGAUUGCCCUUCCGAUCCACCCCUAGUCAUAUCAUUGUUGGUAUAAAAGUCCAAAUCAGGCUGCAUCAGCGUGUCUGGAGUUUGCUCUGUACCUUGCUUGUACAGUUGGUUCUGACAGUAUAGACUGGGUUGCGCAUACGCACCUGCAAACAAUUCAGUCUUCCUUGAACAUGCACUUAGUUUUCAGGAUUAAUUUCAUAGUGUGACAGAAUAAGGCUACAGAUAUGUUUUCUCUGUUUCAGUUGACUCUUCUGUUGUACAGGAAUAGAAAAGAAGCCAUGGUGUUCAGUGCUAGCAAAGGCGAUGUGGUUGUUAAGGUGAUAUGUCGAAACUGUGGUGGUUGUGCAGGGAGAAGCUGUAAUGAAUGACUACUGCCUUGUGAUCUAGGUAAUGAAAGUUUAGAAACUAUGUUCUUGCUUUGCCAGUAAAGGAAGUUGUGCGCCAUUUUUUAAAACAUUUGGGUGGCCCGUGAGGUCUUCAAGAGCAUCUCUUCUAAGUUCUUCUGGAGUUUUUGAAAAUCACGCUGGCAGCCUUCUAACAACUUCAAGUGCCUAAUUCCUCCUAAAAAUCCAGGCAGUUACCCCUAACUUUUUCAUCCAGCUGUGUUCCAUCUGAAGGCAGGAGGCUUCAGUUCCUUCAUGUCUCCUUUAAACCACGUAGAUUCAGGUACCUGCAUCCUACCAUGCCUGGCAGCUGCUCCAAGAGCGAAUUCUAUAUUACUCCAUUACUUUCAGAAGGGUCAGCAGGGCUGACCUUGCUUCACACUGAGGUGAGUUUGAUGCUAAAAUAUUCUUGAGAGAGCGUGUUUUCUUUUCAGGUAGUGCUACAAAUAUAAAAACAAUUGCUGUUUUAAAAGUGCCUGUAGUGGUAUAGUAGAAACCUCCCUCUUGCUAUGAACAGAUCUGCUGUUCUUUAGAGGGCAGCAGGCUAUUAUGCAAGUAGAACUUUUCAGUGUUAGCACUUCGGUCUACUCUUGCACUCUUCAGGAUUGCUGCAAUGACUUUAUUUGCAUUUGCUUCAUUAACCAUCUGGGCUAUCACCUCACGGCAUUCAGACACUUAAUACCACUGAGGUAAUACUCAGGAAUGUAAAGACCACAGGCAUGUGGACAAGUUACCUUCAGUUCCUUUUGGAGGUUUCAUUUCUAUUGCCAUUUUGUUAAGUAAAGGAGAAUUGUUUCUUUGGAUUGAUUCAUUUCUGAAAUGAUCUCAAACUAUUGAUAUUGUAAUUACAUAUUCUAUUUCAGUAAUCUCUUCUGCUUUGCCGUGGUACAUUAAUUAAUGUCCUACUGUUUCACGUGAACAUCUCUAACAAGACUGCAGUGAAAAACGGUGUGCUAUGUGGUUAAAAAAAUUAAUACCAAGUGACCUGAGUACUCUGAAGUAAAUCAUAUGACAAAGGAGAUGGGCUUAAGUGGUGAGAAAGUGUGUUCAUUCUUGUGAGAAUACAAGAUCUGAACCAAAUGUCAUGUGAAUUUUGUGGAACUUUAAGAGAAUUUAACUAAAGUUCCAAAGGUGAUGAUUGCUCCUUAUCUCUGAAAUGUACUCUCUAAUCCUUAAAAUCUCCAUAUUCUGGAAACCAAAGAUAUGAUUAUUUUCAGCGUUGAAUUCAAGCUUCUGUUGCUAUCUCAGUACUUUAUUAGUAAGCUGAAUACUGUUAUCAGAGAUCUAUAAUUGAAUAUACAUUUUACAUCUUGUAAAUAAUAUGAGCUUCAAAAGUAUAUUUGGUGACAUUAAAGUCAAAUGAUGGCUUAUUCUAAAAAAUGUUCAAGUCCUUAAAUCCUGUGCAGCUUAGCUCAGGGAAAGAUACCUGGAAACAUUGCUUCCGAACACAGUUCUUGUGGUAAGACAGUUGCAUAGAAUAAAUUUUGCUAAUUUCAACGUUCUCUGUAAGCCAGAUCACAUCAGGCUUUAUACCUAGUGAUCAGCACCACAUAUUUCGUCUGAAAGUGAAAUCAUCACCAGUGCAGAUGCUUGUGUACCUGGCCUUUGUGUACUUACCAAAAAGGUGGGCGGCAAAAUUCAGGUAGACUAUUCAAGCAGCCUCACAAGGUAGUCCCAGAAGAACAACCACAGACACGUGUGUUAAUUGGAGAAUAUUCUAUUCCUGUGCUGGAAAUGCUUUAUUUAUCAAUUUAACUUUAAAUAUGUAGGCAUUUGUCCUGAACUUCUCUGUUUAGCCUUUUGUAGUGGAAAGAACUACCUUCUAAUGUGGAACUUGGCUGCAAAGAUCAAUGACCAGGUUUCGACUGUUACUACAAACAAUGGAAAAAACACAAAUGGAGUUUGAGACACUGUGGCUAUGCAAAACUCUUUGUUUGUACAGAGAAGGGAUUGGCCUCUCUUCUGGAUUUUCUGACACUCAUUUUUCAGAUUCUGUUAACUUAUGACCUCUUGAAAGGAAGCAUGUGAAGAAACAGGUCAUUACAUCCUCCCUUGCCAAAGGAAAGAGUUCAGGAUUCUUGAGGGAGGACUACUGCUUGGCCUUCCUGACAACAGAACUUUGGAUCCCAUGGGAAAGGUGCAAUGAAAUUAUGACAAAAAAGGAGACUGGAAAAGAAGUUUCCAUUAUGAUCUGGUAUCAGGAAGUUCUCGGAUAGGUUUAAAAAUUAUUGAAAGAUGAGCCAGAUGUGUACUACUUAGCAAUUAUGGAUGAUGCCAGUAGAACUGGGUUUGGAGUCAUGAUGGAAAGUAGGUAAACUCCUGAAUAUGUUCCUCUUUCGUUAUUACAUGAAUGGUACACUCCAGUCAUCAAGUCCCUGUACCAAAUCACUUGCUCAGAAAGGAAAAAUGAGGAAGCUGGCUAAUGCUGAUAAGGUAACUUCGUGAAACGCAAAGAAAAAGUUAAUAGAUUUUGUGCUUCUGCUGAUAAGUCAAGGAUUUAUAAUGUUUGUUAAAAUGACUUUGAGUUCUCUUUUCAAACAAAAUGACUCUUACAUCAUUUUCUUCCACUCGCAUCCUUUCACUAAGUACAAUAAAACUAUGGUUGGUCAUCUUGCCAGGUUUUUUGCUACCUUAAGAACUGAGACAAAGGACAGAUAACCAAUGGUUUAUAAUGACAAACAUACUAGUUUCUACUCUUGUUUUCUCAUCUUCUAAACUGGAAAUGAGCAGGAACGUUGGGCAGUCAUUACUAAAGAUUUGCAUGAUUUGUUUGAAAUUAGGCUUUGUUGUAUGUCACCUUUAUUAAGCAGUGCUCUUUUUACAUGGGACUUGGUUUUACGUAUGACUCAGUAGCCCCCCCUUUUUCCCAGCUGAAUUGGUGAUGUUGAUCAUUCCACUUCAGGGUAAAAAUCUAAUCACAGUGACGCAAACAACACAGGGAGACUCUGGGCUGAAGAAAGUUCAAUUCAGAAGCCCAAGCAUCAAAUAAAAUCAAAGGAUCUAGGGAAAAUUUAGUGAUAAAAGGCAGCCAGCCAUCACCAAGUACGCAGUGAGAUUCCAGCAGAAGGUGACAGGAUUCCAGUGUCUACAUUCUUAUCAAAAUAAGACUUAGAAGAAACUUAGUGUUUUUAAGACUUGCAUAGUUGUAACGAGAGACAACGAAGAGAAACUAUGCAUUUAGAGCUACUGUAAGUCCAGUCAGUCUCUAUGGUUGUGCUGUUUCAUCUUUCCAAGUCUUACAGCAUACAUAGUGAUCUCUAGUGGGUUUUAUUUAAGGUUUAAACAGAGAUCUGCUUGGAAUGACACACUGAAACAAAAUUACACCAAAGCUAUUAUACAGUCUAUUUUAAUGAAGUUGUUUAUAUCAGCACCAUCUUCAGCUGAAACUCAUAACACUCCAUUAAAUAUUAUAUCUUCCUACGUGGUUCCAAAAGCAUGGCAGAAAUAGCAAUACCACAGUUACUGCUUCAGCUUCUUCCCAUGGAGUAAGAUCGCUGACCCAGCAGAAGGUUGUACAUAGUUCAGAGCCUUAAGUUAGGCGACUUCAACUAGGAUGUCUUAGUUAAGUGCUUUCAGUUGAUGCAGUUAGCAUUCAGUAGAAAUACAAGCAGUAUCUUACAAGAAUGAGCCUAGUGCCAUCUCUUUAGUCUGUACUUGCGUGACUGGCUUUAGUGCAGGAGCUUGUACCCUGUCUCUCUCCUCAUUUUUGCUAUGCCAGGCAAGAAUAAACAGUUUCAACAUCA
This is an RNA transcript of Strigops habroptila (Kakapo), 11851 nucleotides long. It is a transcript of the gene named RWD domain containing 4, with no coding region annotated. The record is from RefSeq and is a predicted model, not a curated record. Lineage: Eukaryota; Metazoa; Chordata; Aves; Psittaciformes; Psittacidae. The transcript is spliced from 17 exons.